This 292-nucleotide ribosomal RNA is filed under the name uncultured bacterium. Its description in RNAcentral is "partial 16S ribosomal RNA". It matches the Rfam family "Bacterial small subunit ribosomal RNA", at positions 505 to 796 of the family's 1533-position model. The record is from RNAcentral.
GUGCCAGCCGCCGCGGUAAUACGGAGGGAGCUAGCGUUGUUCGGAAUUACUGGGCGUAAAGCGCACGUAGGCGGCUUUGUAAGUUAGAGGUGAAAGCCCGGGGCUCAACCCCGGAAUUGCCUUUAAGACUGCAUCGCUUGAAUCCGGGAGAGGUGAGUGGAAUUCCGAGUGUAGAGGUGAAAUUCGUAGAUAUUCGGAAGAACACCAGUGGCGAAGGCGGCUCACUGGACCGGUAUUGACGCUGAGGUGCGAAAGCGUGGGGAGCAAACAGGAUUAGAUACCCCUGUAGUCC